Molecule: long non-coding RNA, 3127 nt
Organism: Anneissia japonica
Lineage: Eukaryota; Metazoa; Echinodermata; Crinoidea; Comatulida; Comatulidae
Exons: 2
Source: RefSeq, a predicted model, not a curated record
UAUAUUGUUUUUGUCUUAUUUAGACUGUUGUUCUGUUCAACUGGGCCAUUUGGUCUCCACCUCAAGUUGGAAAUAGUGAUCUGCCAAACUGGUCUCAUGCCAUUGGUUGGAUGAUAUACGUUUCAGCAGUAGUCUCCAUUCCUGGAAUUGCUAUUUACGACUUUGUAAAAGGGUCAGGAUCUGCCCUUGAGCGAUUAAAGGUAAUGAUUAGCCCAACUAAGGCGUGGGGUCCUGCACUGUUAAAUCAUCGCCAAGAAGCAGCUGCGGUCCACGAACGUUAUCAAACCACUAUGGGAGGGGACGUUGACUUUGAUCCGCAAACCAUGGACACUUCAAGUUAUGAUAUGAAAGUCAAAUACAGCAAUGAAGACGGAGUGCAGGUUUGAAUAGAAACUAUCUGGAAAUAAAAAUAAUGCAAUAAAACAAAUAAGAAAAAUUGAAAAACAUAAAAAUGAUUAGUGAAAAUUUCAAAAAUAGGAAGGUUUUAAGUUUAGUAAAAAAUAAGGACAAGUGAUAUUACGAUAGUCAGCAGGGACCGAAUUCCAAAGUGUAGGAGCUGAGAAAAAGAAAGACCUUAUGAGAACUUAUAUUUGGGGUGGGAAUAUUGGGGGUUUAGGGGAUGUAGUGGAGUGGCAUACAUCUGUCUGCACAGUGUUCGCAGUUAUGCUGUGAAAGUCUGCCUUUGAUCCUAUCAAACUACCCCAUUUGUAGUGUGAUGUGCAUCGACCAAAGACCGCAUUAUCGGCUGGUAACCACCAGAUGCUUUACUAGAGGUCGUUCCCUAGGUUCAGUAUAUGGAGCAAAGCUAAACAAUGCUGCCACGUCAUUGUCAACAAAUCGCACAACUAAAAUGAUUGCACCUAUCUUUAGAUAUGUGGCAUUUAAUGCAAAAGUGUAAUGUGUAUCAUCACAAUAUUAUUUAGUAUAAGCAUUAAGUAUAAUGUGGACUAAAUUAUUGUGUAUUUAAUGCUUUUAACAUUAUUAUAUAUAUAAUAUAGAUUAUUAUAAUUAUAUUAUAAUAUUGGCUUUAUAUACUAUAAUUGUGGAAGCAUGUGGCAGAGUUUAUAAAGCAGCGGGCCUUUGAUCAAAAGGUCCGGGGUGCAAUCUUAAGUUGGCCACAUGUUUGUGUCCAUAGGCAAGGCACUUUAUCCACGUUGUCUUUCUCCACCUAUGAGUAAAAGUAGAUGAGUUACCUAGUAGAUUUUAAUGCCAAUGUGUGGAUUACUGCCUGCAAAAUUAUGGAAUAUUUUCUCAAAAAAAUAAUAAUAAUGUGAAGUGCGAAGAGGCAUUGACAUUUUAGGAAUUAUAAAACCAACAUUAUUAUUAUUAAUAUUAUUAUUAUUAUUAUUAUUAUUAUUGUUAUUAUUAUUACUAUUAUUAUUAUACUUAUUAUUGUUAUUGUUAUUAUUUAUAUUAUUACUGUAUUAUUAUUAUUAUUAAUAUUGGUUGUUUUCAUAAUUUUUUACACAGCAUUAUUUAUGGCAUAUUCCAUGUAUAUACGAUUAUCGGCAGAGCCGAUGAUUUCAAUUGUAUAGAUAUUUAAUUCUUAAUAGUUAAUUCAUUGUUUUUUGUUUCAAAUCUUGGUAUAACAAAAUGUAUAUUUUCUUUACCCAAUCUGCUGAAAUACUUUCUUAAAAGUGAAUUGUUUGAAAAUAUUUUUUAACUUGUUUUCUAUAGCAACUUUCCAUAUUUAAUUGUUAGAUUUAGCUUUUCUUUUCAUUUUUGCUUUUUAAUAUGAUGGUAUAAAGAGAUCCAAAAAAAAAAUAAACACCAAAAAAAAUGCAAUAAAAUUUCAAAAAUGACCAAAAAAAUAAUAAAAAAAGAAAUCAUAAAAAUAUCUAGAAAAAAAAAUGAGUGAAUUUGUUUAAAGUAUAUUAUGUGUUGUACCAUCCUGUACAAUGCCUCCAAAUGCAAACUCUCCAAAACAUGUGCUUUGACAAUGCAAUCGAAAAUGCAAUUUAUCAUGUAAAUUAUUUAUUGAUGCUGUAAUUGAAUGCUGUUUUUUAUUGGUAAUUGUUGUAUUUGACUCAUUCUUUUUAAAUAUGUUCUUUAAAAGGAGCACGGUAUAUUUUUUAACAAAAUAUUUUAACACGAAUAAUAUAUGUGCUCUAGUUUUGCUUUGGAAGAAACAUUUCCACAAUAUUUAUAAAUAUUUUUGAACCAAUUGAGUGAGGUGUGUUUGAAAGAGCAACUUGUAAUUCUAUAUAAAAAAAAAAGAAGGAAACUUUGCUUGCAAUAAUGCCUUUACAUACUUGCUAUAUUUGUGACUUACUGUACCCAUUAAAAAAUGGAUUGUAAAGAUUGUGUUUAUUUAUUAUACAAGAUUAGUGGUUUAAGCACUUAUGGACUAAGAAUAAACCAAGCUAUGUACAGUAUACAGUAUGUUUAAAUUGUUAAUAGUUUACGCUGACAGUACACUACCACUCUGUAUCUCUACAGUAAGUUUUAAAAUUAAGAAAUUGGUAAUAUAUACAUAAAGGUCUGUCCAUGAUAUAAAUUUGUAUUUAUGUAAUUUUACCAUAUACGGGCAUGAUGAUUCUAUAAUAUCACACCUAUAUGAGCAUGAUGAUGUCAUAUCAAACAGUAACCAGUAAUUUACUGCCACAAGAAAAGGGUGCACAAUUUGUACCGCACAUCCAUCAUAUUUAAAUGUACUUUGCAUACAGUGAUUUGCUGCCACAAGAAAAGGGUGCACUUCUUAAAAUAUGUAUUAAAAGGCAACAAAUUAUAUCACUUGAUUGACCAGUUGCACACCAUGUGAAAUUGUAGAAUAAAUGGAAUACAAAAUAUGUAUAUAUGUAUAUAUCAGUGAAGGAUCGAUGGUAGAUGACGCUUGUAACAUAUUUUUUUUCAAAUGUAUUACUUUGUAGUGGUUAUGAUUCCAUUAUUCUGGGUCUUUGUCUUGACAGCAUGCAGUAGGCCUGCCUAAUUUAACUUGUAGGCUUCAGAGCCUCUACUUAGCUACUACUCAACCAUCUCAGUCGAAAAUGUAUUCAAUGUAAUACAAUGUAGAAUUUUGCAUUUGGUAAAUAUAACAAUUCUGUGAAAUAACAAUGAAAUGUAAAUAGGCCUAGAAAAAACCGUGAUAAAAGAUGAAAAUAAGAGAAUAAAUAAAAGGCAGUCGAAU